AUGUUAGGGAAAUGGGGUCCUUGGGCUCUGGGGGGGGACCUCUGUCCUCCCCACAGGCUGCCUGUCUGCGGCCUCCCACCUGCACUCAGUGUCCUAUUUAUAGGGAGCCGCGGGCUGCCCCCACUCUCCCCAGACAGUCUCCAGUGGGGACAUUCCUGGGGCUUCUCAGAUGCCUCGCCACCCUCUCCCGCUCAGGGAUGCACGAGGAGGGAUUCCAAGCCCAGCACAACCUGGCUGUCCAGACCCUUGCCCUCAGUCCAUAAAAAUAGCCUGCUCUGGCUAUUCUGGGUUAUGGAAAACCACAGAGAGACAGACUGUUCUCAGGGAGACCAAGAGGGGAGCCCAGAGCCGCGACACCCGAGGGUGGACAGAGGCCCACAGGCAGAMCCCACUGCAGGGGGAUCCCCUGCAGAUAGGAGAGUCUACAAACUUCAAAUUAGCAGCCUGUGYGCAGGAGCAGCGGGAGUGAGGGCAGGCGAGUCCCGGGGCUGCCUCCUGUCCACCAUCUGGGCUGCUGGCCUGUCUGGCCCGAAGGUGACCAUCUUGGGAUUUUGUGGCAGCGUCGGAGAGCUGUCACCCACGCGCCCUGCUCAGGGUCCUGGCUCUUUCUUCCGCCACCUGAAGAAACUAUUUCAGGAUUUAAAAAGUUCCCCGACACCCAUCUUCUUAUUGAGGCCACAAGCUCCACGAGGUGUGAAUGCACUUGGGGUGGACGGAGAGGACAACACAACUUCUUCUGGUGGAGGCAGGUGGCCCGAGUGGACGUUCCAGCAAACCCAGGAUGCCUCUCUACRGGACUUCAGCGUGGAGGGUCAAGGCCUGGCCUCCGUCAGAUUCGGGAGGCCCUCGGAGAGCYGUGUGGCUAGAAAUACCGAGCGUUUCCCAUCUGGCGAGGAGUUUGGAUCUCCCAUCAGGUAAAUGAAUCCUACCUGUUGAAGAGAAGGAAGCUCUCGCUUCCUCCACCCACCUCAAGGAUCAGAGGAGCUCCGAGAGCUACAGGUCAACCGCGGCUCGGAAAGUUCUAGGCCCACCGGCUGAGGAGAAGCCCAUCUUGGGGAGGCCAGCCUGAGUUUGCCUCCAGCUGCUGCUUUCUACCCCUGCUUUCCAUUCGCUCUGAAACUCACCUUUAAAAAUGAGUCACAGUGGGGCGUGGUAGGGCAUGUUUGUAAUCCCAGGGGCUCAGGAGGCUGAGGCAGGAGGAUCGUGAGUUCAAAGCCAGCCUCAGCAAUUUAGCGAGGCCCUAAGCAACUCAGUGAGACCCKGUCUCUAAAGAAAAUAUUAAAAAGGGCUGGGGGUGUGGCUCGGCAGUGAAGCCCUUCUGGGUUCAAUCCCAGGUGCCAUACCCAAAACCAAAAAAUCACUUUAAAAAAUAAACCUAGCCACACUACUACUGUCA
This 1396-nucleotide long non-coding RNA is filed under the name Urocitellus parryii (Arctic ground squirrel). RNAcentral's name for it is "lncRNA (ENSUPAG00010005030.1)". Lineage: Eukaryota; Metazoa; Chordata; Mammalia; Rodentia; Sciuridae. The record is from RNAcentral.